RNAcentral lists this ribosomal RNA (303 nucleotides) under Alviniconcha adamantis. Its description in RNAcentral is "partial 12S ribosomal RNA". The record is from RNAcentral. Lineage: Eukaryota; Metazoa; Mollusca; Gastropoda; Provannidae.
UGGCGGUGCUUUAGACUAUUCAGGGGAACCUGUCUCAUAAUCGACAAUCCACGAUAUACCUAACCUUUUCUAGUUAUCAGUAUGUAUACCGUCGUCGUCAGGUAACUUUUAAAAAUAAAGAAGUUAGCAAUAAAAAUCAUAAUGAUUUUGUACGUCAGAUCAAGGUGCAGCUCAUGAGAAGGUGAGGAUGGGUUACAAUUAAAAUUUAUAAUAACGGAAGAGAGUUUGAUACAGCUCUCAGUGAAGGAGGACUUGAAAGUAAAAUUGUUGUAUACAAAUUCUUUGAAUUUAGCUCUGAAGCGU